Long non-coding RNA from Monopterus albus (swamp eel), 1028 nucleotides. RefSeq lists it as uncharacterized. Lineage: Eukaryota; Metazoa; Chordata; Actinopteri; Synbranchiformes; Synbranchidae. The transcript has 3 exons. The record is from RefSeq and is a predicted model, not a curated record.
UCUAGCGCGGCUGGCUUGACCACGGAAAACUGAACGGCGGCUGAUUUGACCGCAGUGACUUAUUCUACCUGCUGUCAUGUCUCAAAACAUGACGUUACUUCAGCUUUCACUUUUCCAGAGUUCAGACAUGACAAAUCCCUGGACCUCUACGAACAAUUUGAGUCCUGGCUGCAAGAUGUUCCUCUGCUCCGUGCUGACACAGUGAACCCAUGGUAAAGAGCCUACCAAUCAGACACAGCUUGCACUGCAUUUGUUCAUCACAGGUAUCCGCUUUCAAUCCUGCCUCCCAUGGUCACAAACAGGAAUCAACAGUGAAAUUGCCUUUAAGGAAAAGACCAGCAGCUGUGAACAGCCUGCAGUGAUGAGGAUUGAUUUCUGCAUGCGUGCCAAAGCCAACACUACUAGACAUAUCUCUGCCAGAUGGACAUGACAGACUAUCGCCUCUACAUAGCUGAUGUCCAGACUCUUCAGAAACACACAGUCUGCAUAGGCAGUGCAGGGAAAGUUAUGAAUGAACAACCAUGUAGAUGAUUGUUGAUAGAGACUGAAAUUCAGUAGAUCUGUUCAGGAUUUUGAAUUUGUUUUGUUGUGUUGUGUUGCACACUAUGAGCUCUGAAGCUGCAUUAUUAGCCAGUAUAGAGUUCCUCUGUGCUGCUCUGUAAGUUUCACACUGAUGGAUAAUGGAGCAGCCUGUUUGAAUUCACUUGAGCUGCAUCAUUUCUUUACUCCUGUUAUUGAUGCACUCUGUCACACACUUCUCUAAGCCAAAGGAAGCUGUAGCACAUUGUGAUGGCCAAGAGUGUGUUUUUUUUUUUUUUACAUAGAUUUUUCUUUCCCUGAAAGAAAGAAAUCUUGUGGGAACAUUUAAUCAGCAUGCUUCAGGUGAUUAACUGUGAUAGGUGGAAGUCAGCUCCUGCCUGUGAGGUUCUCCAUUGCGUGUAUUUGUGGCUGAAAUCCCAUUCAGUGCUCUAUAAUUUUCCCCACUGCAGCAAGACGCUUUUAUUAUUGCUUUUGGGCUUGGAAGCAGC